RNAcentral lists this small nuclear RNA (104 nucleotides) under Dasypus novemcinctus (nine-banded armadillo). The record is from RNAcentral. Lineage: Eukaryota; Metazoa; Chordata; Mammalia; Cingulata; Dasypodidae.
CUGCUCACUUUGGCAGCACAUAUACUAAAAUUGGAAGGAUACAGAGAUUAGCAUGGCCCCUGCACAAGGAUGACACACAAAUUUGUGGCGCGUUCUAUUAAUUU